AUUGAACGCUGGCGGCAUGCCUUACACAUGCAAGUCGAACGGCAGCACGGGAGCAAUCCUGGUGGCGAGUGGCGAACGGGUGAGUAAUAUAUCGGAACGUGCCCGGUCGUGGGGGAUAACGUAGCGAAAGCUACGCUAAUACCGCAUACGAUCUACGGAUGAAAGCGGGGAUCGCAAGACCUCGCGCGAUUGGAGCGGCCGAUAUCAGAUUAGGUAGUUGGUGAGGUAAAGGCUCACCAAGCCGACGAUCUGUAGCUGGUCUGAGAGGACGACCAGCCACACUGGGACUGAGACACGGCCCAGACUCCUACGGGAGGCAGCAGUGGGGAAUUUUGGACAAUGGGCGCAAGCCUGAUCCAGCAAUGCCGCGUGCAAGAUGAAGCCUCGGUUGUAACUAGCUUUGUACGGUACGAAC
RNAcentral lists this ribosomal RNA (415 nucleotides) under uncultured bacterium. RNAcentral describes it as "bacterial SSU rRNA". It matches the Rfam family "Bacterial small subunit ribosomal RNA", at positions 30 to 450 of the family's 1533-position model. The record is from RNAcentral.